AGAAGCUAAGGAAUUCGGACUCGGUUCAUUUCCGAUCCAGAAGCACAGGCGACAGUUUGCAAUGUUUUUCUUCUCAUUCAGGAACCUUAUCACACCGGAAGACCAUUUCCCUGAUAUAGGUGCUUCUGUAUUCUGAAAAUUCUGAACUCAGGACUUGGCAAAUUCUACACAGAGAUGCCCCUUGAAUCUAAUUGUCUUGCUGACCUUCCUGGAAGAAAUAAAGCAGCUGAUGUGGGUCUUCCAAUUCAGUUUGAUUAGUUGUAAAGAGAUGAUUUUGCAAGCUUGAAAACAGAUUUGGCCAGUUGUUCUACCAUAUCUCAUAAAGCACAUUUGAGACUACAACAGUAAGUUCCAGAUAUUGUCUGUAAUUUGAAAUGAAAAAGAUGCUAAAAAGUUACAUAUUU
This is a long non-coding RNA of Perognathus longimembris pacificus (Pacific pocket mouse), 404 nucleotides long. RefSeq lists it as uncharacterized. NCBI's taxonomy places the organism in Eukaryota, Metazoa, Chordata, Mammalia, Rodentia, Heteromyidae. The transcript has 2 exons. The record is from RefSeq and is a predicted model, not a curated record.